RNAcentral lists this ribosomal RNA (465 nucleotides) under Vreelandella stevensii. RNAcentral's name for it is "partial 16S ribosomal RNA". It matches the Rfam family "Bacterial small subunit ribosomal RNA", at positions 338 to 795 of the family's 1533-position model. Lineage: Bacteria; Pseudomonadati; Pseudomonadota; Gammaproteobacteria; Oceanospirillales; Halomonadaceae. The record is from RNAcentral.
CCUACGGGAGGCAGCAGUGGGGAAUAUUGGACAAUGGGGGCAACCCUGAUCCAGCCAUGCCGCGUGUGUGAAGAAGGCCCUCGGGUUGUAAAGCACUUUCAGUGAGGAAGAACGCCUGGUGGUUAAUACCCAUCAGGAAAGACAUCACUCACAGAAGAAGCACCGGCUAACUCCGUGCCAGCAGCCGCGGUAAUACGGAGGGUGCGAGCGUUAAUCGGAAUUACUGGGCGUAAAGCGCGCGUAGGUGGCUUGAUAAGCCGGUUGUGAAAGCCCCGGGCUCAACCUGGGAACGGCAUCCGGAACUGUCAAGCUAGAGUGCAGGAGAGGAAGGUAGAAUUCCCGGUGUAGCGGUGAAAUGCGUAGGGAUCGGGAGGAAUACCAGUGGCGAAGGCGGCCUUCUGGACUGACACUGACACUGAGGUGCGAAAGCGUGGGUAGCAAACAGGAUUAGAUACCCUGGUAGUC